ACCUGCCCUAUGAAUAAUUUGUUUUUAAAUGGCUGCGGUAUUUUGACCGUGCAAAGGUAGCAUAAUAAUUAGUUUCUUAAUUGGGAACUGGCAUGAAUGGUUGAACGAGAAAAAUACUGUCUCAAUUUAAUUUAAAUUAGAAUUUUAUUUUUAAGUAAAAAAGCUUAAAUAUUCUUAAAAGACGAGAAGACCCUAUAGAGUUUUAUAUAAAUUAUUAUGAUUAAAAGUUGAAGUAUUCUAGAUUUAAUUAUAAUAAUUUAUAUUUGAUUGGGGUGAUUAAAAAAUUUAAUAAACUUUUUUUAUAUUAAACCAUUUAUGUAUGAGUAAGUGAUCCAUAUUUUAUGAUUAAAAGAUU
This 355-nucleotide ribosomal RNA is filed under the name Arachnodes sp. 1 HKW-2010. RNAcentral's name for it is "partial 16S ribosomal RNA". The stretch from base 1 to 123 matches the Rfam family "Archaeal large subunit ribosomal RNA", at positions 1949 to 2099 of the family's 2987-position model. Lineage: Eukaryota; Metazoa; Arthropoda; Insecta; Coleoptera; Scarabaeidae. The record is from RNAcentral.